AAUAAUAUAUUUAGAAAAUAGCUCGGCAUUACGGAUAUUGACACGGAACACAGAAGACAAUUUUCAAAAAAAUUAAGACACAGACAUGAUAUGAACACCGCUAAUAAAAUAUAAUAUUAUUAAUAUAAUAAUACAUAUUUAUUAUAAAUAAAAUAUUAAUAUUUUGUAAAAUAUUAUUAUAUUUCUUAUACGGAAAAUUAGUAAAUUUUUAUUGAUAGUUUAUAUAUUUUAAGAAAUAAAAUUCUCUCCCAGACAAAAUUUAUUUACAUUAUUAAAAAAAAUUAUAUGCAUUCAUUAAAAAAUUAAAAAAUUUAUCAUCUUACAUCAUAUAUGCAUAAAAAAAGUGAAAUAGAAAUGUCUAUAUAAUUUUUUUAAGGUAAUUAUAUGUGCUAUAGAUUGGUAUUAAAUACGCGUUUUCGAUAUGGACACACGUGGGGCUUAUAACAAUGCCCGUGAUAUAUAGGAAAAUAGCCAAAUCCCCAUUAUCUACUCCACUAAUUAAAACUUUAGGAAGAAAAUAUUUUCUAACCCAUGUUAUAUAUAUAUAUAUCAAUUCUCUAUAUAUAGAGUCCGGCUAUGAUACUUGUAAAAGUACUAAGCACUUAGUGCUUGUGAAUAUUUUACCGUUAGAUCUACGUCUUUGAUCAUUUUCACCCGUUAGAUUAUACUAUUCAACCAACCACCCACUCAACCCAAGGGGGCUCACAUCAUCCUAACCGCACAUCUAUUAAUCCAAGGGCUAAAAACUUACAAGCACAAAUGACUUGGUACUUUUAAAAGCAUAGGAGCUCAAUUCUCUCUCUCUCUCUCUCUCUCUCUCUCUCUCUCUCUCUAUAUAUAUAUAUAUAUAUAUAUAUAUAGUGAGAGAGAGAGUAGGUGUUGUGUGCUAUUAGAAGUACGGAGGCUUUCGUGCUCCUAAGCCGUUUUCGAUCAUAGAGUUUCCGAAUCGAUGAUCGGCUUCGUUAGACUUGAUCUAGCAUAUAUGAAGUAUUUAGAAAAUAACUUUUGCGAUAUUUCGAUAUCAUUUACCUAGCGAUCAAAAGGGUUCAAAAUCAACGGCUGAAAAUAAAAAUCUCAAAAAAAGUUGUGAUAUAAUAUUAAAAUUUUCGAUCAGAGAUAUUGAUCUUCCUGUAAAUAGUAUAAAAAAUUUUCUAUCAAAAUUUUAUCUGAUUUGAAUACUUUUACACUAUUAAAUUUGCAAAUGGUAUACAUUAAUCAUUAAAAAUUGUUGAUUUUGAGCCCUUUUGAUCGCUAGGUAAAUGAUAUCAAAAAAUCACAAAAUUUAUUUUAUAAAUAUUUCAAAUAUGUUAGAUUAAGUCUAACAUGGCCGAUUGUUGAUUCGAAA
RNAcentral lists this long non-coding RNA (1345 nucleotides) under Ananas comosus (pineapple). Its description in RNAcentral is "long non-coding RNA (ACOM_LNC017307)". The record is from RNAcentral. Lineage: Eukaryota; Viridiplantae; Streptophyta; Magnoliopsida; Poales; Bromeliaceae.